This 780-nucleotide long non-coding RNA is filed under the name Marmota monax (woodchuck). Lineage: Eukaryota; Metazoa; Chordata; Mammalia; Rodentia; Sciuridae. The record is from RNAcentral.
GCCAUCCUUGGCCAAGUGUGGGCCUGGCCAGAGAGGACUCCAACACUGGAGCCCAUGCUGAGAACUGCAGCAGGGCAGGCAGGGCUGGGAGAACAGAGGGCAGGAGCUGCUUCAUACAAUCAUGUCACACUGCUGAGCCAGGAAGGCCCGGUCACUGACAGUGACUUCCCCCCACAACAAAACAAACAGCAUAAAUUAGAUUACUAACGUUUUCCAGUUCCCAGGAUUUCUGACAUUGAGAACAAAAUGUAUGCUCUUAAGAUGUCUUUGAGAUUCUUAGACAAUUUGGUGGCUUGGAGAACUUAAGAGAGCUCUUCCUAAUGUAAAUGUGAGCAAAUUGCAAAAGAACAUUAAGAGUCAGGACUAUUCACACUCUGAUCUAUAGAAGAGGUAAUGCCAUACCUGCCAACUGUUGUGUGUAUCCAGAGAAAAAAAUGCCGGGCGUAAUGUCAGCAGGUGUUUAUCUCUGGGGGAUACGUUUUGGGAGGAGAAUUUACUUUCAUAUAUUUGCUUGAGUUGUUUGUAUUCUUAAUAAUUUCAUCUUCAACAAACAAUACCACUGAGCUAGUCAGCUUUCCAUUACUCUAACCAAUACCCCCAAAUAACAAACUUAGAAAAGGUUUAUUUUGACUCAUAGUUUUUAGAAGCUUCAGUUGAUGGUCAGUUUGCUGUUGCUUUGGGGACAGCAGCUCCAUGUGUUGGGAGCUUUUGGUGGCGAAACAAAACUGCUCACUUUAAGGCUGGGAAAUGAAAGAGACAAAGGAGAAGGGGCGGGGUCCC